AUUUGAAAUAUUAUUCGAUGAGAUUAUUCUAAAUUCAGAUUUAGCGAGGAACUCCGUGAAAUCCGGAGGCGGUCGCGCCACUGUGAUAUGGUAAGCAAGUCGAACCAUAAAGCCAGACCUUCGCUGAAGACAGGUAAUGG
RNAcentral lists this non-coding RNA (140 nucleotides) under Lentisphaerota bacterium. Lineage: Bacteria; Pseudomonadati; Lentisphaerota. The record is from RNAcentral.